This 253-nucleotide ribosomal RNA is filed under the name uncultured bacterium. RNAcentral describes it as "partial 16S ribosomal RNA". It matches the Rfam family "Bacterial small subunit ribosomal RNA", at positions 524 to 776 of the family's 1533-position model. The record is from RNAcentral.
UACGUAGGGUGCAAGCGUUGUCCGGAAUUAUUGGGCGUAAAGAGCUCGUAGGCGGUUUGUCGCGUCGAAUGUGAAAACUCGGGGCUUAACUCCGGGCCUGCAGUGGGUACGGGCAGACUAGAGUGCGGUAGGGGAGACUGGAAUUCCUGGUGUAGCGGUGAAAUGCGCAGAUAUCAGGAGGAACACCGGUGGCGAAGGCGGGUCUCUGGGCCGUAACUGACGCUGAGGAGCGAAAGCGUGGGGAGCGAACAGG